This 799-nucleotide small RNA is filed under the name Lambertella sp. TNS:F-40026. RNAcentral describes it as "eukaryotic LSU rRNA". The stretch from base 499 to 652 matches the Rfam family "5.8S ribosomal RNA". Lineage: Eukaryota; Fungi; Ascomycota; Leotiomycetes; Helotiales; Rutstroemiaceae. The record is from RNAcentral.
GCCUAGUGACUGUCCCUGCUCGCGGGAGACAGGCGCCUCGCGACUAUAAAAUAAUGGGGUUUGCACAAGUAGCCUCGGCUGCAACAUGAUCGAAAUGCGGGGAUAUCCUAAAGCCUCAGGUACCCAACCACUGCAGAAAUGCCGUGGUGUUGUUAUAACCCUGAUGGAUGCUACAAUGGACGAUCCGCAGCGAACCUCUAAGGGCCUGUCACAGCCUAUGGGGGGCGUUCACAGACUAGGUGGUCAUGGGCAUUUUCAUGCUUAAGAUAUAGUCGGACCUCGGUGGAAACACCCUGGAGUUAACGUUCCGUAGGUGAACCUGCGGAAGGAUCAUUACAGAGUACUGCCAUCACUGGUAGAUCUCCCACCCUUGUGUAUUAUACUAUGUUGCUUUGGCGGGCCGCGUGCCUCACGCCUCGGCGCCUUCGGGCCUGAGAGUGCCCGCCAGAGGUCUAAAACUCUGUUAUCAUUAUCGUCUGAGUACUAUAUAAUAGUUAAAACUUUUAACAACGGAUCUCUUGGUUCUGGCAUCGAUGAAGAACGCAGCGAAAUGCGAUAAGUAAUGUGAAUUGCAGAAUUCAGUGAAUCAUCGAAUCUUUGAACGCACAUUGCGCCCCUUGGUAUUCCAGGGGGCAUGCCUGUUCGAGCGUCAUUUCAACCCUCAAGCCUAGCUUGGUAUUGGGUCUCGUCAGUAACAUGGCGGACCUCAAAAUUAUAGGCGGUGCAUUAGGCUCUGAGCGCAGUAACAAACCUCGCUACGGACGCCGAAGUGUAUGACCUAAACUCAUCCCCUCGGGGU